GAUGAACGCUAGCGGCAGGCUUAAUACAUGCAAGUCGAGGGGCAUCAAGGUACACGAAAGUGUAUUGUUGGCGACCGGCGGACGGGUGAGUAAUAGGUAGGUAACCUACCUCAUACUGAGGCAUAGCUGGGAGAAAUUCCAGGUAAUUCCUCAUGAGGUUAUAUGACACAUGUGAUAUAAUCAAAGGUAUCGCAAGGUACUGGUAUGAGAUGGGCUUACUGACCAUUAGCUAGUUGGUGAGAUAAGAGCUCACCAAGGCGAAGAUGGUUAGGGGUUUGAGAGAGAGAUCCCCCACAUUGGAACUGAGAUACGGUCCAGACUCCUACGGGAGGCAGCAGUAGGGAAUAGUUGGGCAAUGGGCGGAAGCCUGACCCAGCCAUGCCGCGUGAAGGAAGACGGCCUUAGUGGGUUGUAAACUUCUUUACUAUGCGACUAACUAGAUUUACGAGAUAAUUCUAUAGAAUGUAGCAUAGACAAAAGCACCGGUA
RNAcentral lists this ribosomal RNA (488 nucleotides) under uncultured bacterium. RNAcentral's name for it is "bacterial SSU rRNA". It matches the Rfam family "Bacterial small subunit ribosomal RNA", at positions 28 to 498 of the family's 1533-position model. The record is from RNAcentral.